RNAcentral lists this non-coding RNA (24 nucleotides) under Bos taurus (domestic cattle). Lineage: Eukaryota; Metazoa; Chordata; Mammalia; Artiodactyla; Bovidae. The record is from RNAcentral. RNAcentral also lists the same sequence under 2 other names.
UAACCAGUGAUGUGAUGAUUCUGC